Molecule: long non-coding RNA, 8611 nt
Organism: Oxyura jamaicensis (ruddy duck)
Lineage: Eukaryota; Metazoa; Chordata; Aves; Anseriformes; Anatidae
Exons: 2
Source: RefSeq, a predicted model, not a curated record
UCUUGCUCCUUAGUGGUGGCAGUCACUGCCACCCCGUGUCUUCCUGGAGGCUCUCAGCCCCUCGCAUAAUCUUGUUGAAGGUGAGCGUGUGAAUGCAGAUCUGUUUUGGAAACAUUUCCCACCCACUUUAACAUUCUCUUCCCAACCACCUCCUUUUGUUGAUGUUCUCUGACAAGUCCCAGACCUUGGGAAAACAUUCGUUUCCAAUCCGGCUUGAAUGUAAUCACUUUGGAUUGAUUUUGAGAUGUUGGCAAAUAUCAGGAGAUUCGUGUUGAAAACGUACUAGAGCUUCUUCGUUCACAAGCUUUUUGAUUCUGUGAAAUGAGAAAUAUUAUAUUUAUUUCCACUUUAUAGAAAUAUAUUUGAAAAUUCUCUCGGCACAGGCAUGUCUUUGACUUUGGUGCUUUCUAGAUUGUAAGCUUCUAAGUCCUGUAUGUCCAGGGACAUGAGCAUCAUUUUCAUGCUUAGGUACUUGGAGAGUGCAGUUUUGAAGCUGAGUGAGCUUUUCUGGAAAGUUGAUAUGGUGUGAAGUCAAGAAGAAGGGAAAUUGAUUGCACUAGACUUUUUUGCUGCUUAGGAAAUUGCAGAAAGCGAUAAAUAUUAGAAAUUUAAUGGAAGGAGGGCAGUCUGGCAAAAGAACAUUGGGCAAAGUUGGAGGUGUAACAGAGACACUGUGAGAGGGGAGACCUCGAAUUUGAUCGGGGUAGACCAAAGCAGCCAAAAAGCAGUUCCCCUUGUAGCCUCAACAAGUCUCUAUCAAUCAUGUGAGAAUCAAAACUCGGUUCCAUCUCUACUGUAGUUUUCUACCACCUUUACUGUUAAUAGGUGUUGUUUCUUUCCUCACUAGCCCAACCUUCAAUUGGGGCGAAAACCUCAUGUGGUUGCAGUGAUGGUGAAGAGGGGAAGCGGUCAUAAAACCUGUGUGUUAUGUGAGUGUGCACCAGGACUGUCCUUACAGCCACCUCCUGGAAAACACAGGAGGGGAAACGGUGCUUGCAAAAUGCUGACCCUUUUGUUAAUUUGUGGAGAGAGGAACAAAACUGGAAAAGGAAAAUAUACCGGAAUGGUUUCUGUAGUCUGGGGUGAACUGAAGCGACAAGUUUAGCUUUUAAUGCCAUGAUUUUUUUAAACAGUCUUCAACAAAUGCUCUAGCUAGUCAGGUGUUACAGAGGGAAUGCUACGAUGAAAAUCCUCGAAUGGGCUUUUCUUGGCAGACACCCCAUUAUGCAAGCAGCUUAAUAUGUGCUGGUUUUGAAACAGAAAUGGGAUUCCAUUACAUAGGGUCAGGGUGGUUUAUAAAGGUUACCUUUUGUUUCCUAUCAUAAUUCUCCCUAAUAGUCUCUGAUUAUGGCAACCUGUAAUCCCAAUUCUCAUGUUUUAAAUCUGUCUCGUGUUGGAUUUGGGGUGGGAAGGGGGGGAGUUUUAGACAGCAAAGCUUGCAGGAAAAUUGAAAAUCCGAUAGGUACUAAUAGCUUAAAAAUGGGCUGGGGGUAGUCUAGAUUUAGGGGGAUGUCUGUGCUAUGCCAUAGGGCUCUCUCCUGAUUAAAUCUGAUUCUUUCCCAUCUACUUUCUGUCUGUGCUUGUGCCACAGAAAGUUUCCUCCUUAAUUUUUGAAAAUUCUGUUCAUGCAAGCCCUAUGAGGUACAUUUGUAGUGACAUUUGGAGCCAGUCCUGAGGGCUUCUUUCUACUUAGCGGAGUUGAUAAAGCUGCUGCUUGUGGAGCCUGUGGAGCGCUCUGGAGCAGGGCAUGUGCAGAUUUCUUAUUACUGUAAACUCCUUUAGCAAAACUUGUUCUAGCCAUUGGACUUAUCACUUGCUCAGGGAACAAAGUGAACUUAGGACACGUAAGCAGCGGGACUGUUGCUGUAGUCUUCCUGUGCUUUACAUCUGCAGUAAGUUUUGUAGUAUAUCCAACAGACAGACUUUGGUUCUGGCCCUAUAGCUGAGCACAGCUUCUGAUCUUUACCUGAGCUGUUGGUGGCAAUCCAGCUGGGAUAUUCUUAAUGUCAGCAGCUGGCAGGUCUGGGCUUGAGAGGUACUAGGAAAUGGACCCUAGUGUUAGACCACACCUUACAGAAGCUGAAGCAGCCCGAGGAUUUAAGGUCAUGGACACAGAAGCUGAUGUAUUUUGUUUGUAUUUCUUAACUUGCUGCUGCUUUCCCUGGGUGAAAGCUCCUUUGGCAUAUGGAGAAUUAAGCGCUUCCUACACUUCCAAGUUCUGGCUAUUAAGUGAGGCAAUAUCGCUGUGCUUUAGAAAGAGAAAUGGGCUAUUUUAAACAAGGAAUAACUGGGUGCUUGUGCAUGAGAGCUUCUAAGAACAGGAAAUGGCAUUUAAAAGAUCUAUCUGCGAUGGGAGACUCAAGUCCAGUGUCAUGUGUUAAAGAGCCCGUCUGACAUAAAUUACUGGGAUAUGUGGACUGUAAUGAGAAUUAUUUCUGGGUGUUACAACACUCUUCGUACUGCUUUCUACAGAAGUUUAUUUGCAGGGCUUAAAUUAGUUUGUUAGUUAAAGGGCAUGUCAGAGUUGUGUUGAGCUGAUAAUCCAUGGAGAUAGAAUUGCAAUACACCUUUGCAAAAGUUUCCUCACUUAAACAAAAACCUUGAGAAACAAUGUUGCAGUUGAGGAUGUGAGUUUGUAGAUUUUUGGUGGUGUUCGUAAUAUUAUUGCUGUUUUAUAUAGUAUUAUUUACACUUACUUAGAAAGAAUGAUGCACUGUAUGCCUCUCUUAUUCAUGGGCAUCGCCUAUCCUGUUUGAAUGGGAAAUGGAUUUUGGAGAAAGGAAAGAAACAGCAUGUCCUUAUGUCAUUUAUAACUGUUGUAGCACACACAUCUGGGCAGCCUAACUUUUGUGAGUUCUUUUGCUUUAUUUUUUUCAGUCUGCUUAUUUCUGUUUUUCUGUACAUUGUAGCCUACUUCUGGUUUAGCUUUGAAGAGUAUGUUUGGUUUUUUGUUUGGUUGUUUUUUAAUUCUGUCUUUGCAGUAGAGAAGUGUGUUUGAAGGAAAUCUAGGGUGUGCAAAGCACCUGUUUGAUGAUACAGGUGAUCAGGAAGACCACAUUUUUGGCAAGAAUACUUGCUUGCGAAAAGCAGAAUGCAUUUUCUUGACGCAGAAGCAAAACAGAACAAAACAAGCCUACUUGUCCUAAAUACCUUUCUUUAUGUCUUCUGCUCCAGCUCUUAUUUUAGUCUGUAUCUUGAAUGUGCUUCCUUCCUAUUCUAAAUUUAUCCCACGCAGCAUUAGGAAGUUCAGUUGAAUAACUUAGGAUUUGUAAAUAUUGUUUCAGAUGUGUAUCUUGGAAAAGACAGUUUCAUCUUCAUGGCUGAAAUACUUAAAGUUUAUCAUUUGGCUAUUAAAGGCCUUUAAAAUGCCUGUAAUUCUUUCUUUGGCACUAGAUAAAAUGCCUUAAAGUUGCAAUUUAGAAAGUCAGCGAAACAGAAUUGGAGCUUUGGCAUUAUAUUGAUGUUAACAGUGGAAGCAAAUAGGCAUCUCUUUGGCUUGCUUUACUGUAGAAGAAGAAUCAUUAAAGUCAAUGCAGCAUUCGAGUUUCCCAAAAAGUUGUGUAACGCUGCUGUGCUGUGACUGGUUUAUCUGGUCCUGGUGACUACAAUGAUUUCUCCGAUGUCAAACGUCUGAAGUAAUAUUUGAAAAACUGUUUUAUAUCUAUCACCAUUUAUUUUACUCUGUAACAAUGUUAAUAUUUCAUUUGCCAUUUAGAAAAUGGAUUUUGACACUGAAGAGACUAAAUUAAGACUGUUGCAAAUAUUUAAUUUGUGAUAGGUCAGUGUCAUUUUACUGCUGGUGAUGACAAAUGUAAAUUUUUUCUGCUAUGUUCAGGAGCCACAGAACUGGCAUUGCUUUAAUUUUGUAACGCACUGCUUCUUUACCAAUGCUCUCCCAUCCUCCCAAAGUAAAGCCUGAUUUUUGCUUGGAAAAGCUUUGUUGAUGUAUUUUGUUUCAAGUUACCUCAUGCUUGUAACUCUUGCAUCACUGAAUUGUAUUUUCUAGUUAGUCAAUUUCAGGGUUCCUUUUCCUUAUGUUUCUGUCAUGCUGUAGUAACUUCAGCACAGACUCGCCUAUGCACAUCAUGUCUUUAUGUUGUGUGCUCCUUACAGUGCUGUCGUCUUUCAGGGUUAUCUGCAGAAAGCCACAGAACAGCCUUAAAUGUUAGUUGAGUGGCGCUUUUACCCAGGGCGUUAAGCAGUGUUGUUUUCUAUCUCUGUAUCUGUGCUGGAGUACCUGUGGAUAUCAUUUGUGUCCUGGGAAGCCUGUGCAGGGUGAUUCCAAAGAUUCCCUCAAGAACUUCCAGAGAGCGACUAUGGCUGAUAGGAAGGCAGUGCACCAUGUUCUGGGUAAAGCCUGACUCUGGAUACCUACAGUAUGGCAAGGUGCUGCUAGGUGUGUCUUUACUGGAAUAAAUUGACCCCAUUUGCAUCUAAUCAAGUGGGGUUCCCAACGUUCACAUCAUCUGUUGGACAUUUCCUGGAAAAGUUCUCUAACGUUAUUAAAUUGAAGCACUCCCAGAGGUCUGAUAAGUGCAGGUGUCAGGGUACGUGGCUGGAUGCAAAAAAGGGGAGCUCCCCUUUUCCAGUGGCAGUGAGCUGCUAUAUUGGCUUAAAUUGUACCUUGAUUUGGUCUCAAGUAUCCAUGAGUAUCCAUCAACAUGCUGUUUUAGUUAUUCAGGAGGUGAACACUUCAAUAGUUUCAGCUAAAGCUCUUCAACUGUGGUGUAGCCAUUUAAAUGUUCUUCCAGAAAUAAGAUUAUCAUUACUUAAAUGGUUAUAUGGCAUGUUGGACAUCUGGAUCUAAAUCCCUUUUCUGAAUCAGCAAGGCUAACUCUAGUCUUCUAAUUUAAAGGCGCAUUUAUGGAGAGGGAGUUGAGAGGGCAUCCUGCCUGGUAGGGACUGCCUGGUGAGGACAUGGAAGGUCCUGAACAAGCCAGGUUAAUUCAUCUCUGGAGAAGGAAGAGAGAAGAUCUAGGAUUAUGUGACCUCAGAACUAUCCCUUGAGAACUUCUGCUAGGUCCUUUCCAACAACUCUCACGUAUCCCCUGCCAUACACCUCUUUUCUUCCCUGCCUGAACAGCAACUGAUCCUCUUGCUUUAAUAUCCCCCUUACUCCGUUCCUUUUCAUGUGCAGCCAGGUGUUUGUUUCACCUUACCCCAUUUUAUGUGGCAUUGGGGGAGAAGGGGGAAGCAUUGCACCUGAAGUUGGGACUUGUCAUUUAAUAAAAUGGCAUUUGAAAUUAAACACAUCCCUAUUACUGUUCAUUAAUGCAAGCCAGAAGGGAUAUAACUACCAAAGAGCGUACCGAAGUAGCCAGCUGGUCAAGGAGAUGAUGUGUUUUGGAAAGGAUGUGCUCAUGGACACAGAAUGGUGGGUGUAAUCUGGGACUAUUUCUGUAACAGCAUUUGUGACAGAGAGGCAUCACAGCUUCAAAGAACAUCUGUGUAAUCGUGAGCUUAUCUCAUUUAAAACUAUUGUUCCACCUCUGUUUUUUGUUUUAAAAAGCAGCAUUUAGGUUACUUUUAAAUAUGAAUUGGAUUUUACUAGAUUUCUAAAAUGACAGAGGAGCACAGUGAAAUAAGUUGAUAGCUAUAAUAUAGUAAGACUAAGCAAUGCUAGAAAUCCAUCAUGUAAUGAGAAAGCAAACAUGUAACUUUAAUUUCACAUUGUAUGUGGCAGGAAUGUAAUAUUACUUAUAAAUACUCCUAACUGCUGAGCACUGCAGUGCACUUAUCUGUAGUGUUUCUGUGAGGAUACCUAAUAAAAAGCAAAUCACGUUUUGUUAUUAUACUUUUGUGAUCCUUGUGCAUAGUUUUAGAGAAACAAUGGUAACCAUUAGGUGCAAUGCCUAACAUGUUAAAUUAAAUUCAGUGAAACCUUGCAUUUUUGCUUUGAUUUAGACUUGUAUGAAAGAUAUAAAGUAAAUGUAGGGGAGAACAGCUUUAAAUUCUGCUUGCCAUACUUAUUUCUGACAAUAAAUCAGACACUGAAAGUGGAUCAAGAAUGCAAAAUACAGUUUGAAAGCUCCUCACGUACCAGCCUUUAAUAUGGAAUCUCCUGAAGUCAAGCAGCUGUCAUCAUGUUAACAGCAAGUACAGCAUGAAUCUGCUUCAUCUGGAAGAAACGUUCUUGAAUUUGAUGCAAAGCCUUCAAAGUUGCUUGAUGCAAGGCUAAUGAAACACAGAGCAGCCUGAUACCACUCAGAAAAAAUCAGACAUAACACCAGUGCCUUUCCAGUUUGUGGUAACUAGUAUUGUACUGAGCAUAGAAGUAAUGCCUCCUAAGAAGCUGAUGCUAUCAAAAGCUACGGAACCAGCAUCGCCAUCAGUAUUGAUGCCAGACACAGUGUAGUAUCUGCAGUGAAGUACUUGUCCAAUAGAGAAGAAAAUGAGCAUUCAAGUUUGCCCUGCAAUAAUUCUGAAUGAUUCUGCUUAAAUCAUCAUUGAAACCUUUUGGGAAUUUUGACUGUUGAAAUAAAAAUGGAAUCAUCACUUUCUUGUUAGGCCUAAAAUGUUAUGAAAGGCAGACUUCACUAGCAAAGUCUGACUUUUAGUAUUGAUAAAACUAACUCUUUGCUUCAUAAUUUGCCUUGAGACAUGGAAUAGUUCAAAAACAAGACAGAAAAAAGGUCAUGAAAAAGCUUUUUAGGCAUCAGAGGAAGUGUCUGAAACUGUAGGCAGAUAUACGCCCACUACAGCGAUGAUGGGAAGCAUGCCGUGGCUUCAGAUGCACUAGAUUGUGUGAAAAGUAUAAGGAGUGGUCAUGGAAUGCUUUAGAAAGCUUGCAGCUAUUUAGCAAAAAUAUUGUAGAUGCCCUGGGCUCUCUAAAAAAGUUAGAGUGUAUGCUCACUGUAGCAUUUCAUAUCAUUAAGCUACUGGCAGCAUGCAAUUCCUGAUGUUAGCAUCCACUAAGCGUGACAUGUUAUUGCAGGCAGUCAAAAUACCAUGCCAAGAAGUGGCAGCAGGAAUGCUAUAAUCUUUCUUAAACACAUUAGGGAUGUUCUGAUAUUCCUAAUGGCUAUUUUUAGUGGUUAUUCUGUACGCAUUCUGGUAUUCUUCAGGGUUUACAUUGAGCGUGAUUGAAUGUUGCACCUGAAAAAUAAUAGCUACCCUUUUGGUCGUGCCAUCCAGCUUUGUUUCUUUCUAGGCUGUUCACUGUUCUGCCCUAUCAGAGAUUAUUCUAAUGGUGUUAUAAACAGGGAGAGUUCAGUUGCUCAGCUGGAUUCCAGGAACAGGAAAAAAAUAAGUCUUCCUCCAACUCAGAAUUUCCAUCUUUUCUGAAGUUAGGUGGUCAUACCACUGCAGAACUUGUCUUCAUCUUGCCAUUUUAUUACAUCAGUAUAUCAAACGUGAGACCUGUGGGAGACAGUUUGCAGGAUGGGUAUUCCUCUUUUCAGAUAGUCCUGCUUACAACAAAAGCUAUAAAGAUCACUUGGGUCGCUAAAUGUAGGACACUCUUGAGAGCUUUCACCAAAUACUUGAUAUUAGUUGGGGCUUAUCUCAGAAUACAAAGAGAAAUUACAUAUCCCUAUCUUUAGAGAUAAAAGACUAAAACAUUCUCAGAGUCAUCUUUAACCCCCCUAACAUGGAUAGAAUUAGGACGAUUUUAAACUCUACUUCAGUCAAAGCUGUUAUUUUUACUUUCUGGCAGACUUGACUUAAUAAUUAGCAUUUUCAAUCAACUUCAGUAAGAACUGUGUGAGCAUGUGCCAUGUCUCCAGUGACAGACUGGCUAGAGCUAAUGUGUUCAUGACUUCUGGGUGUUUGUUUUCCAGUGAGGUGCAGAAACUCCAGCUGAGUGUGCAAAGUGAUAACAAAGCUCUGGUAGGAAUGCAAAAAGAAAUACCAGGAAAAAAAAAAGAUUUGUAAUCACAUAAAUACUUGAUUAUAUAUAAAUGUUCUAACUGGGGGCAAUUCAUGUAGUGUAUCUUAUGUUUGUAUUAGAUUUAAGACCUAAUAAAACCAUUCAGCUGACAUCAGCUCUGAGUUGCAAAGAAAGGAACUCGAGUUUCUUCUGAAAUAAAACUGCCUGGUUGCUCUUCCAUUUUGCAGAAUUUUGUCAGCCUUUGCACAGGUGAACUGAGGACCAGCCACCAUCUCACUGAUUCUUGCACGUGUACGUCUCGGUUCCUCCAUUCUCAAUGUGAUGUCUGCAACACCUUGGUUUUGGCAGUAGGAAAGGCUCCUCACCUAUCAUAAGAGUGUUGGCCUAUAGGUAUUGCUGGUGCAAAAUUCUGACCUUGAAACUGGCUUAGAAGGACGUAUAUGCUCUUUUAGGGUUAUAAAAUGAACACAAAUAAGUGUUUUUAUGAUGAGAAAUAACACUGCUGUAGUGAAUUGAAUUCAUUAUGUGAUUCGUAGGAUACUGUACUUCCAUUUUAAAAAAAUAUGCAAAACUCAUGAUGAUUUCCAAUUUGUAGCUGAAGCCUUUGCAAUAAGACUUCCAUCAUGAUGUGCUUCUAGUAUAAUAUGGAGGCAAGCAGGUGUUUUAAAACUUGAUACGGAACACUGUGUGUAUGUUUCUUCACGUCAGUGGAAGUUACUGAACUUUCUCAUUAGAUUUUCCAUAAAAAUAUUACACUGAAUAAAUUCUUCCUUCAGAUGCAAA